ACUGCACAUGAUGACUAAAUACUUUUGCCGUUUACCCAGCUGAGGGUUCUUGAAGAAAUAAAUCUAAGACUGAGAUGCCAGU
This 82-nucleotide small nucleolar RNA is filed under the name Dasypus novemcinctus (nine-banded armadillo). RNAcentral's name for it is "Small nucleolar RNA SNORD87 (ENSDNOG00000046266.1)". It matches the Rfam family "Small nucleolar RNA SNORD87". From Rfam's summary of the family: U87 (HBII-276) is a member of the C/D class of snoRNA which contain the C (UGAUGA) and D (CUGA) box motifs. Most of the members of the box C/D family function in directing site-specific 2'-O-methylation of substrate RNAs. Lineage: Eukaryota; Metazoa; Chordata; Mammalia; Cingulata; Dasypodidae. The record is from RNAcentral.